RNAcentral lists this long non-coding RNA (753 nucleotides) under Panax ginseng (ginseng). RNAcentral's name for it is "long non-coding RNA (PGIN_LNC014263)". Lineage: Eukaryota; Viridiplantae; Streptophyta; Magnoliopsida; Apiales; Araliaceae. The record is from RNAcentral.
GGAGUUGAAUUCAUUGUAAAUUGUGUUGCACUAAAUUGGGGACGAAUAUAAUCCUAAGGACAGAGCCUUGUCGUUUGAUUUGUAGGCUGCAUUCAAAUUUGUUCAUACAGCAUGGUUCCAACACAUCAUACAGAAGAAUUUAGACAUGUACAACACUAGAAACUCGACUCACAAUUUUUUCAGAAAAUAUUUGAAAAAUUACAGAAGCAAUAGCCUCGCACACAAACACAAACUAUAAAUAGAAAACCGAAUCCCAAAUUGCAAUAAAGUAAUGAAAAUGCUUCUGCGCCCAACUAGGGUGAAUUAAUGGGGGGAGUUGACCCCCUUUGUCGGGGAAGGAGACGGACUAGGACUGCCCAGGGCAGCACCGGUAAGGACAGUAUCUGCUGCAGCUGCUGAUGCUGAUGCGACGAGGAUGGGGCAGCACGAACUCAGACCGUACAGGUCACAGCAUGAUGUGCCCGAGCCAGUAUUGUAACGGAACUGGGCUUGUUCAGUCGUCAUGAUAACAAGGAACAAAAUGAUUAUGCUAAUUACUUGUUUUUGCUUUGCCAUGAAAGCCAUCUUGUUAAUUUUUUGACAAGGAAAUCUCUCUCUCUCUCUUGCAAAAGGACUUGUUAGUUUAUAACUUUUGUGUGAGGGGAUGGUGUUAGCUAAUAUGGACUAUAUAUAGAGGAUGAUAUGUAUAUGGUUGUGAUUGUUACGGUAAGUCAGGGGCGGAUAGAGGUAGAGGGCAGCAUAGACACUUGUCUA